UUUCUUCUCCAAAACCUUGAAUGAACAAUAGGAGGAUUGUGGUCAGUCGUCUGGCGAACCCUUCGUGCAGCCCCUGAGGCAAAGACGUCACAGACUACAGCAGACUCGCCAGAUGCUCGGUUAUACUGCGUUUGCAAUUCUGCAAUUCAAUUUUGAUGCUGAAAGCUGCUUCCUGUCCCUGCAGACACAGAGUGGUGGCGGCUCUUUGAAACAGCGGGCAGGAGCGCUGGGUCAGAACCAGGCCUGGUUUAGGGCCGUGUGGCCUAUCCUGUCGCCCCAGCACUGUCAUUUCAGUCACUUCCUCCACUUCCUGUUGACGCCACUUGGCACAUCUGUACAAUAAACACUGCCUUCCUGCAGCCUACGGUUCAGGAGAUUCAACAUCAGCUCUCUCUAGAGCAGUGCCCGCUGUCUAAACACUGGGCAAAGUCAUCUGGAGAAAGCCUGUGAAAUUCAACAUGCCCAGAGGAAUAUGUGCCCCCCCCCCCCCCCCC
Molecule: long non-coding RNA, 494 nt
Organism: Cyprinus carpio (common carp)
Lineage: Eukaryota; Metazoa; Chordata; Actinopteri; Cypriniformes; Cyprinidae
Exons: 3
Source: RefSeq, a predicted model, not a curated record